AAUUUUUUAGUAUAAUUAGUAUAUUUAAUUUCCAAUUAAAUGGUUUAUUUAAAAAUUG
This 58-nucleotide transfer RNA is filed under the name Wellcomia siamensis. RNAcentral describes it as "tRNA-Gly". The record is from RNAcentral. Lineage: Eukaryota; Metazoa; Nematoda; Chromadorea; Rhabditida; Oxyuridae.